GACGAACGCUGGCGGCGUGCCUAAUACAUGCAAGUAGAACGCUGAAGAGAGGAGCUUGCUCUUCUUGGAUGAGUUGCGAAUGGGUGAGUAACGCGUAGGUAACCUGCCUUGUAGCGGGGGAUAACUAUUGGAAACGAUAGCUAAUACCGCAUAACAAUGGAUGACACAUGUCAUUUAUUUGAAAGGGGCAAUUGCUCCUCUACAAGAUGGACCUGCGUUGUAUUAGCUAGUAGGUGAGGUAAUGGCUCACCUAGGCGACGAUACAUAGCCGACCUGAGAGGGUGAUCGGCCACACUGGGACUGAGACACGGCCCAGACUCCUACGGGAGGCAGCAGUAGGGAAUCUUCGGCAAUGGGGGCAACCCUGACCGAGCAACGCCGCGUGAGUGAAGAAGGUUUUCGGAUCGUAAAGCUCUGUUGUAAGUCAAGAACGGGUGUGAGAGUGGAAAGUUCACACUGUGACGGUAGCUUACCAGAAAGGGACGGCUAACUACGUG
This 497-nucleotide ribosomal RNA is filed under the name uncultured bacterium. RNAcentral describes it as "partial 16S ribosomal RNA". It matches the Rfam family "Bacterial small subunit ribosomal RNA", at positions 28 to 507 of the family's 1533-position model. The record is from RNAcentral.